Molecule: ribosomal RNA, 373 nt
Filed under: uncultured organism
Description: partial 16S ribosomal RNA
Rfam family: Bacterial small subunit ribosomal RNA
Source: RNAcentral
GUAGGUGGCAAGCGUUGUCCGGAAUUAUUGGGCGUAAAGCGCGCGCAGGCGGUUCUUUAAGUCUGAUGUGAAAGCCCACGGCUCAACCGUGGAGGGUCAUUGGAAACUGGAGAACUUGAGUACAGAAGAGGAAAGCGGAAUUCCACGUGUAGCGGUGAAAUGCGUAGAGAUGUGGAGGAACACCAGUGGCGAAGGCGGCUUUCUGGUCUGUAACUGACGCUGAGGCGCGAAAGCGUGGGGAGCAAACAGGGAUUAGAUACCCUGGUAGUCCACGCCGUAAACGAUGAGUGCUAAGUGUUGGGGGGGUUUCCCGCCCCUUAGUGCUGCAGCUAACGCAUUAAGCACUCCGCCUGGGGAGUACGCCGCAAGGCUG